Ficedula albicollis (Collared flycatcher) is the source of this 460-nucleotide long non-coding RNA. RefSeq lists it as uncharacterized. The transcript has 3 exons. NCBI's taxonomy places the organism in Eukaryota, Metazoa, Chordata, Aves, Passeriformes, Muscicapidae. The record is from RefSeq and is a predicted model, not a curated record.
GCCGCCGCUCUGGGCCUGGCGGGGCGGGCACACAUCAACAAUAUCAACAUCAACAACUGCAACCACCACCGCUCCUCUGCACCCACCGCGCAGUGCCACUUCCUCAAACACCUCCAGCGACGGUGAUUCCAACACGGCCCUCGGCAACCCUUGCCACUGCCCUGUCAGCGUUUCUGGGAAGAAACUCCUCCUGCUGUCCUACCUAAACCCGGCCUCGCACAGUGCCUGCCUUUCCUACUGCCUGCGCCACUUGGCCCUGGAAGUUGCCUGGACCUGCAUUAUCUCACUGAAGGCCUGUCCUUGCUCAGUCCCUGCAGGCACAGAAUUAAUCUGAAAAAGGUGAACCAGUGACCAGUAAUACCAUACAGCUUUGCUACAUAACUGGUUGAGCAGCAUGGUUUUCUUCACCUAGCAUCUCUGCUUCCAAAAAUCAUCCCAGGAAACAUAAAUUAAACCUCUG